Molecule: ribosomal RNA, 497 nt
Filed under: uncultured bacterium
Lineage: Bacteria
Description: partial 16S ribosomal RNA
Rfam family: Bacterial small subunit ribosomal RNA
Source: RNAcentral
GAUGAACGCUGGCGGCGUGCCUAAUACAUGCAAGUCGAGCGAACAGACGAGGAGCUUGCUCCUCUGACGUUAGCGGCGGACGGGUGAGUAACACGUGGAUAACCUACCUAUAAGACUGGGAUAACUUCGGGAAACCGGAGCUAAUACCGGAUAAUAUAUUGAACCGCAUGGUUCAAUAGUGAAAGACGGUUUUGCUGUCACUUAUAGAUGGAUCCGCGCCGCAUUAGCUAGUUGGUAAGGUAACGGCCUACCAAGGCAACGAUGCGUAGCCGACCUGAGAGGGUGAUCGGCCACACUGGAACUGAGACACGGUCCAGACUCCUACGGGAGGCAGCAGUAGGGAAUCUUCCGCAAUGGGCGAAAGCCUGACGGAGCAACGCCGCGUGAGUGAUGAAGGUCUUCGGAUCGUAAAACUCUGUUAUUAGGGAAGAACAAAUGUGUAAGUAACUAUGCACGUCUUGACGGUACCUAAUCAGAAAGCAACGGCUAACUACGUG